RNAcentral lists this long non-coding RNA (476 nucleotides) under Helianthus annuus (common sunflower). The record is from RNAcentral. Lineage: Eukaryota; Viridiplantae; Streptophyta; Magnoliopsida; Asterales; Asteraceae.
AUGAUGUGAUUAUUAUGAUCAAUGUUUCUCAUUUGGUAUUUGCAGGCUUUGGCGCCAUUGUCCGAAAAAGUGACCAACACAUGCAUCCAACAAAAACAUAACGUUGGUUUUAGCUAUUAAGCUAGGAAAUUGAAGAGGAGCAAAACUCAUUCUAAAAGCAACAAGAGGCAUAUGCUCCUUAUGUUGGUUCAUUGCCGCAUGAUAAAAUGGUCAUUAUCGUUAUGCAUACGGCGAUGAGGCAUGAUUUGCAUUUGAGUAUGGUUAAAGCAGCUAUUCAAGAGUUUUUACUAAUUUUUUUAUUUGUUACUAAUGUAUUUUCUUUCAUAUCAAUUGUUUACAAUAGGUUUAGUGUUAUUGGAUUGUAAGAUAUGAUUCAAGUGAAACAUAUUUCGUUAGGUGUUAGGUGUUACGUGAUGAUUGUUUUUUCAAUUGGUCAAAAACGUAUGCGAAGUUAUUGGUUGAAGCUGUUGAUGCAG